Leucoraja erinaceus (little skate) is the source of this 4456-nucleotide RNA transcript. It is a transcript of the gene named nucleoredoxin like 1, with no coding region annotated. NCBI's taxonomy places the organism in Eukaryota, Metazoa, Chordata, Chondrichthyes, Rajiformes, Rajidae. The record is from RefSeq and is a predicted model, not a curated record. The transcript is spliced from 2 exons.
UCACUUUUCAAUGUGUUGAAGGUUCCAUGACUUGAAACAUUGACUCCUUAUAAAUCACCCAACCUGCCGUAUUUUCAGGCAUUGAUUUAAGUUUGAUUUGGCGUCAAAAUAAUUUGAAAUUGACCAGGAUCAUGGGGCACCUUCCUAGGUGUUGCCAUUAGAUAUGCCUCUGCCACAUCUGGCCUUGGAGGUCCUUUUUUGGUCUCAAGUGUCCAAGAACAAUAUUCUGCAGUAAGCUCAGACUGGGUUUAGAUCCACUAUGCUCAGAUCAGAUUUUAAUUGAUUGGAUUGGAACAUAAAGCAAUGCAAGCAGGCCCUUCAGCCCACCAAGUCCAUAUCAAACACCCAUUCACAUUAGUUCCAUGUUAUCCCACUUUCUCAUCCACUCCUUAUACAUUAGUGGCAAUUUCUUCAUUUAAAGCACUUUUUGAAAAUUACUGCAAACAAAAAUAUUUUUUUAAUUGCAUAAAAUGCUUUUUUUUUAAAUUAUUUUUGAUUGCAGUAAUUUUUUAAAGUAUUAAAAAUGAAGAGAUUUACCAGAAUGCUGCCUUGAUUGGCGAUUACCUGUCCCGUUGAGUUACUCCAACAUUUUGUGUCUAUCUUCGAUUUAAACCAGCAUCUCAACUUCAGUACUUUCCGACACACUUUCUGCGUACAGGUCAGCUGUCACAUUGCAAUAUCAACCACUCCUUGAAGAAAGUAAUUCAUUGGGGAUAUAGUAACAUUGGUGGACUCGGUGGACUGCACAGUGCAUACUGUACUAACCGGGGCGAUUGUGCUUAUGUACAGGGAUAGUCCUGCUAAGCUGUAUGCAAAUAAUGUAUUUCACUGUACCUGGUACCCGUGACAAUAAAGAAACAAUUGAAUCAUUAACAUUAUAAUAAAAUCAUUGAAAAUGCAAUCAUAUCAUAAUCUCACAGACAGGGCAACAAUACAAACACGGUAUCAAUGGACAUCCACCGGGCCUGUUACAGCAGUGUCAAAAUGCUGACUUUGAAUGAUUACGAACUGCAUAACAUGAUGCCAUAAAAAUGAAUCAUAAAUUCUAUGGGGUGGGAGAUUGCAAUCUUCACAUGGUCUGCCCUGUUUCGACGAAUGCAAUCAACCUGGCGUGCACAAUCAAAUAAGAUCAAAUAGAACAAGAUAUCCUACAACUUUAGGCUGUGCACGCCAUACGCAAGAAGAAGAAUAAAUUCUAUAUCCUCUUUCUACCAUGGAUUUAAUGGUAGAAAGAGUCAGCAUUAAAGUAUCAGAGAGUAGCAUUAAACUAAGACCUACGAUUCUCUGCAAAUUCCUUCCCAUGUUGUGCUGCUGCAAGUAGGAAUUUCAUUGUUCUACCUAAGGCCUGGGUAUAGAGUUGAUGUGGAGAAGAGGAUGUUUCCACUAGUGGGAGAGUCUCGGACUAGAGGUCACAGCCUCAGAAUAAAAGGACAUUCCUUUAGGAAGGAGAUGAGGAGGAAUUUCUUUAGUCAGAGGGGGGUGAAUCUGUGGAAUUCGUUGCCACAGGAGGCUGUGGCGGCCAAGUCAGUGGAUAUUUUUUCACACAGAGAGUGGUGAAUCUCUGGAACUCUCUGCCACAGAGGGUAGUCGAGGCCAGUUCAUUGGCUAUAUUUAAGAGGGAGUUAGAUGUGGCCCUUGUGGCCAAGGGGAUCAGGGGGUAUGGAGAGAAGGCAGGUACGGGAUACUGAGUUGGAUGAUCAGCCAUGAUCAUAUUGAAUGGCGGUGCAGGCUCGAAGGGCCGAAUGGCCUACUCCUGCACCUAAUUUCUAUGUCUCUAUGUUUUAAGGCAGAGAUAGAUAGAUUCUUGAUUAGUACAGGUGUCAGGGGUUAUGGGGAGAAGGCAGAAGGGGUAAGAGGGAGAGAUAGAUCAGCCAUGAUUGAAUGGCGGAGUAGACUUGAUGGGCCGAAUGGCCUUAUUCUGCUCCAAUCACUUAUGACAAUAAAACUCUGGACUCAACCCUCAUGAUGUCGCCAUCUCUGAGCAGAGACACGCGUGCGCGGUGGCAGCAGUGCCGGCAGCGUUGAAGGCGCGCAUGCGUGCGGUGGGCUCUCUCCACAUGCCGCGCACGCCCGGUGUCAACAGCACCGGCGCUGUCGGCAUCGCGCCUGCGCACAGCAGGUUCGCUCUGCGGGGGGGCGCGCGCGCGUGGCCGGAGCGGUCAACGGCGCAUGUGCGCGCACGGCGACGGCAGGUUUAACUCUCCCCUCCCCUUCCCUUCCCUUCCCAACAAUGGGGUCCAGUGGAGACACGACACGACGCGACACGACGCGCUUCACUCCCGCCCGUUGUCAGCAUCUCACCGACCUGACGCGCGGCGGGGAUGGCAGACUCACCUCAUAAUGCUUCAUGGCGCCGCUCGUGCCGCCAACUCCAAACCGCCCAACGGUCGCCGGCAACCCCGCGCCAACCACGUGACUGCGCCGGGGGGAGGGGUGGGGCCUCGCUCACCAGGCGGCCAAUCACCGCCUCGCUUCCCCCACAACCAAUCACCGCCCUCCCUGUGAUCCCACUGGACCAAUCGCCGCCCAGCGACCCCGAUCUCCGCCUCCAGCCAAUAGGCUGCCCGGAAAUGAAUUCCCGGGACCAAUCAAAAAGGAGAGGACCGUUUGCUCGAUCGGCCAAUCAGGAUGCGCCUUUAUGAGACUUACUAAGAAUGUAUGAUGUCAAAGAAAUGCCGUGCAUCAUUGUUCUCAAACCCAAUGGAGAUCUUAUCAGCAGGAACGGAGUGGCAGAGAUCUCCAUGAUGGGAGUAAAUUGUUUCAAGAAUUGGUGGGAAGCAUCUGAUGCCAUUGACCGGAAUUUCCUGCUGGCAGAAGAUCUUGAGGACUGGACCUGGAAGAGUCUGACAGACCCCUUAAGGCAGCUCAAGUACAAGAUUAAAAAGGUGACUACAGAUAUGGCUGAUGAAACCGAGUGACUAGCAUGGAACUGAUGAUUCUACCCAAUCCUUUCCUCUAUCCUUCUUGGCUGUAUCCAACUUCCACUCCAGGACAUCCACAUUUUAAUUACCUAAUGUUUGCAGAUCCCUGGAGCAACAAUUAACUCAAAAUUACAGGAAAUCAUUAUCUUGAGAAUAUGUGAAAUUUCCUCCAUAAUUUUCCAACCCCUCAGAAGAGAGGGAUUAUCUCAGCUCUAGAUUACCGUGUGAAGUUGAAAUAACCUGUGACUUAAUCUACAAAUAGAAUAACUAGGUUAAACUAAAAUACACAGUUGGAUUAGUAUCAGGCAAUGUAUUCUUCCCUUCAAAUCUAGUCUCUCAUUUCCCUUAUUCCUAACCAGUCCGAUGAGGGUCACGACCAGAAACGUCACUCCCUCCUUCUCUCCAGAGAUGCUGCCUGCCCCGCUGAGUUACUUCAGCUUUUUGUGUCUAUCUUCGGUUUAAACCAGCAUCUGCAGUUCCUUCCUAAACAGAAAAUAGAUGGUCAGAGACAGAAUUACCAGCCCAGGAUCCCAAACUAUGGGACCCUCGUCUUUAAGUGUAGAGUAAUUAAUUGGUGGAGAGUAAUGAAGUUAGAUUUAAUUAACUCUGGAGUAAUAACUUUUUACUUUGUAACAAUGAUACUGUCUUGUGUCACACUAGGUAUAAUGAGACUCCUCCUUGCAACAAGACACAAGAGUUCUCUGUAUGUGAUACAUGUUUAUUCAUCAUUGACUGUCCAGUUGUGCACCUGUGUUUAACGUGUAUGUUUUAACAUGUGCCUGUCUUCCACUUGUAGAUUUGUGCAGAGCUGUCUCUGUUGAUUGUAAUACUUUGGACACUUCAUUCUAUCAUUUUCUUAUCUUGUUUUAGCCAGUUUAGUCACCAUCCAUUUAAACUGUGGAGAGAAAGUGUGCAGCUUUUGGUAUGGAGUAAAAGGGCAAUAAAGAUUUGUUUGUUUAUUAAUUCCUGUUUUCAUUGAUAUUCAGGGUCUAAUGCAAAAUACUAAGACACAAGUCUCGACACGAAACGUCACCCAUUCCUUCUCUCCAGAGAUGCUGCCUGUCCAGCUGAGUUACUCCUGGAGUAAUAACUGUUUUACUUGUCCUCCUGUUGGUACUUGGGCAGCACAGUAGUACGGGUGUCAGGGGUUAUGGGGAGAAGGCAGGUGAAUAGGGUUAGGAGGGAGAGAUAGAUCAGCCAUGAUUGAAUGGUGGAAUAGACUUGAUGGGCCGAAUUGCCUAAUUCUGCUCCUAUCAUUUAUGAACUUAUGAAAUUGCUGCCUGACAGCCCCAAAGACCCAGAUAUUGACUGGGGGUGCUGUCUGAACAGAGAAACCCUGUGCAUGGGUUUUCUCUGGGUGCUCUGGUUUCCUCCCACACUCCAAAGGGGCUUACAUAAAGUGAACAGUAUUUUCCCAGGAAUCUACAACUAGAAGGAACAGGUUACAGUGAACAGGUUACCGGGCCAAGUUUUUUUUACAUAGAAGGUACAUGGUGUGGACAUGAAAUGAGCUGCUCGAAGUACUGGCAGAGGCG